UUAAUCGGGUCCCGACCCGACCCAUUCGGGUAAAGACAAAUCGGAUCCAUUUUUUCGGGUUUUUUUAUGAGUUCGGAUUAAUCCGAAAUCCAACUAUUCCCAAUCGGGUUCGGGUUUUAAGCCACCGCCCGAAGAACCUGAUCGAGGGAAGGGCAAAAAGGGGGAAUGGGUAACACCAUGUCAAAAAAAAGAAUCCACUUCCUUGGCCCUUGCUGCUGCCGUUGUUCUUGUCUUGCUUCCCCAAAACUCAAAAGCCUUUUCUUGCUACUGCCAUUGUUGCUAUCGCUGACCAGACAUCUCACGGCUAACCAGUCGCUGUGGCCGCGCCACCCACCAGACGCCGAUGAGCUCUCCUUCUUCACCUACAGUCCGCGCUUGCUAUUUUUGCCAAUUUUCAGCAUUGUGUCAGGGCGUGACGACAAAAUAGAGGGUUGAGUAGUCCCUCGUGAAAUCGAAGCAUUUUGAGAAUUUAAGGUCGAGUACUCGAGGAUGAAAAUGUGAUGAGUUUUUUCAGUCUGUGCAUUAAGAUUUAGGAGGCCUUGGCUUUAUUGUUGUUAUUGAAAUGAUUUACAAAAACCUCUGAUAAUUUAUGGAUGUGAUUGAAUUCUUUUUUUUGGGUAUUUAUGUAAAGCUUUAAGUAUUUGUGUCCAUAAAUUAUAUGACUUACAUGGAUUUACUUUA
Sesamum indicum (sesame) is the source of this 681-nucleotide non-coding RNA. NCBI's taxonomy places the organism in Eukaryota, Viridiplantae, Streptophyta, Magnoliopsida, Lamiales, Pedaliaceae. The record is from RefSeq and is a predicted model, not a curated record.